UAAAUUCCUCAUUGCACUAUGAGGAUACGUAGGCAUGAAGGCCCUAAUCCUCACCGGACACUUUGUCUAUUUCUCUUCCUUUCCCCAUUCUUUUGCGAGUAAUAUUAGAUAUAACACCUAUUCGAGCGAGAACAAUCAAAACGGUUCACAUGGAGUACCAUGGAUGUUUGGGGUACUAAUACCUUCCCCUUGCAUAACCGACUUCCUU
Molecule: long non-coding RNA, 208 nt
Filed under: Lathyrus oleraceus (garden pea)
Lineage: Eukaryota; Viridiplantae; Streptophyta; Magnoliopsida; Fabales; Fabaceae
Description: Pisum sativum (pea) long non-coding RNA (PSAT_LNC001813)
Source: RNAcentral